CCUACGGGUGGCAGCAGUGGGGGAUAUUGCACAAUGGGGGAAACCCUGAUGCAGCAACGCCGCGUGUGGGAAGAAGGUCUUCGGAUUGUAAACCACUGUUCUUGGUGAAGAUAAUGACGGUAACAAUGGAGAAUGCUCUGGCUAACUACGGGCCAGCAGCCGCGGUAAUACGGAGGGCGCACGCGUUGUCCGGAUUUACUGGGUGUAAAGGGUGCGUAGGCGGUCUUGCAAGUCAGACGUGAAAACCUCAGGCUCAACCUGUGGACUGCGUUUGAAACUGGGGGGCUUGAGUGAAGUAGAGGUAGGCGGAAUUCCCGGUGUAGCGGUGAAAUGCGUAGAGAUCGGGAGGAACACCGGUGGCGAAGGCAGCCUACUGGGCUUGAACUGACGCUGAGGUACGAAAGCAUGGGUAGCAAACAGGAUUAGAUACCCGAGUAGUC
RNAcentral lists this ribosomal RNA (440 nucleotides) under uncultured bacterium. RNAcentral's name for it is "partial 16S ribosomal RNA". It matches the Rfam family "Bacterial small subunit ribosomal RNA", at positions 338 to 795 of the family's 1533-position model. The record is from RNAcentral.